UCUCUCUCUCUCUCUCUCUCUCUCUCUCUCUCUCUCUCUCUCUCUCUCUCUCCAUGGCCUUGCAGCUACGGUGGUCUCCCAACACUCUGUCGCUUUUCUUUUCCACUCUCUCCCUCAUCUCUCUCGGUUCCGGCACAACCCUUGCCGUCGUCGACUCCCCCGCCACCGUCUACUGCAUCGUAUCGUCACAACAAACAACAUAAUCAAUUGGUGAGUUGUCUUUCCCUCUAUCUAUCCACGAUUAUGCUGCCCCUACCAUGGCCAACCAAUUGGUUUCCGAUUUCCCUAUUUUUACUGAUUCAAUUAUUUAAUCAGCUUUCUCUUUCUUCGAUUUUGUUUGACAAUCAAAUGGCGAGGUGAUGGCUGUUUGAUACUCGCAUGCAAGCAUCGAGUGAAGCUUAGGGUCGGAUACAAAAAAAAAAAAGAAAUCCAGUAAACUAUCACUCCUCAUUCGCUUCCGGAUACUUUGAUAGUUUACUGGAUUUCUUUGAGCUCAAAAUCUAAUGGGUCAAAGACGGCGGCAAAAUGGUGAUUGUUCGAUGCAGAAGCCCAAUCGUCUAUGUGGGUUACGAAUAUAGUGUUCAUUAAGUUCUCAAAGGAUUUACAUAUGAUGUCAUACAAUCGGUUGUUUGAAUCGUUUCUUUCAAAAGAUACGACGGUGUUUUACAUGACUGCUGAUUCCGGUUGUUUGUGGAGGUGUACCUGUAUUCAGUGUGUAUGUUAUGUUUCAGGCCAUAUACACUUCAUAGAAAAAUCAGAUGGCAUUGCAAAAACGCUGAUAAUGUUUUAUUCUGGUAGAUAGUUCGGUAUCUUGAAAGGAAUAUUGAUUAUAGGGUAACAGGGAAUUAAGGCAGCUGCUUUGAUAAGAAUGUUGUUUCAGGACCCACCCUUGAGUUAAUUUGCAAUUCCAGGUCUAUUGGCGCAACAUUGUUAAUGCAAAGUAUUCUACAUAAUGCAAAAGGGCACAUGUUUAGCGUAUUGAGUUAUUGUAUUUUCUAAAUAUACUUUAUUUAAGAGGUGUGUAUCCAAUACCGUUGCGUUGUGA
Molecule: long non-coding RNA, 1045 nt
Organism: Medicago truncatula (barrel medic)
Lineage: Eukaryota; Viridiplantae; Streptophyta; Magnoliopsida; Fabales; Fabaceae
Exons: 3
Source: RefSeq, a predicted model, not a curated record